GCCUUCGUGGUAGGAUACUCGGCUCAUAUUCGAGAGGUCCUGGUUCGAGUCCUGGCGAGGACA
RNAcentral lists this transfer RNA (63 nucleotides) under Stegodyphus mimosarum. It matches the Rfam family "tRNA". From Rfam's summary of the family: Transfer RNA (tRNA) molecules are approximately 80 nucleotides in length. Their secondary structure includes four short double-helical elements and three loops (D, anti-codon, and T loops). The record is from Rfam by way of RNAcentral. Lineage: Eukaryota; Metazoa; Arthropoda; Arachnida; Araneae; Eresidae.